AUAUCAAUAAGCGGAGGAAAAGAAACUAACAAGGAUUCCCCUAGUAACUGCGAGUGAAGCGGGAAAAGCUCAAAUUUGAAAAUCUGGUGCAGCUCUUUGCAACUGUCCGAGUUGUAAUCUUAGAGAAGCGUCUUACCUGCGCUGGACCGUGCACAAGUCUCCUGGAAUGGAGCGUCACAGAGGGUGAGAAUCCCGUCUUUGACACGGACAGCACCUGGCAUGUUAUGUGAUGCGCUCUCGAAAGAGUCGAGUUGUUUGGGAAUGCAGCUCAAAAUGGGUGGUGAAACUGCCAUCUAAAGCUAAAUAUUGGCGAGAGACCGAUAGCGAACAAGUACCGUGAGGGAAAGAUGAAAAGCAACUUUGGAAAGAGAGUGAAACAGUAC
RNAcentral lists this ribosomal RNA (383 nucleotides) under uncultured fungus. RNAcentral's name for it is "eukaryotic LSU rRNA". It matches the Rfam family "Eukaryotic large subunit ribosomal RNA", at positions 40 to 398 of the family's 3401-position model. The record is from RNAcentral. Lineage: Eukaryota; Fungi.